This 583-nucleotide long non-coding RNA is filed under the name Medicago truncatula (barrel medic). Its description in RNAcentral is "lncRNA gene23076". Lineage: Eukaryota; Viridiplantae; Streptophyta; Magnoliopsida; Fabales; Fabaceae. The record is from RNAcentral.
UUGAUUUCAUCACACAAUGACUGUAAACGAUCUACACGACGAGCCGCCGCAAUCACAUUACAUCCAGCACCAGCGAGAUCGAGGCAGAAAUCACGGCCGAGUCCGGCUGAUGCACCGGUGACAAGGACCACUUUUCCGGCGAGGUCGUGCCACGGUUCUAAUUGCUUUGCCAUGUUGAAUUGAUUUUGAAUAAGAUGAAGUGAAAUUGAGAAAUGAAUGUUGAAAAUGGGGUUUUAUGAUUUAUGAAAAUGGGAAUGAAAAAUGGUGAAGGGCAACUAGCAUGAUGUUGGAAGUAAAUUCAUCAUUUCAUUGUAUGUCUUAAAAGACAAGACUGUGACAACUUUAAAUAAUGUCUUUAACGACAAUGAUGCUGUUGUUGAGGAAUAAAUAUCUUGAUCUCCUUCCCUUAUGUUAAAAAUGAAUCUUACCCCUUUUAGAUAGUAGGAAUUAGAAAAAUUGUUCAAAUUUAUGCAUCAAUUGAUAGAGAUAAUACACUAUUAUAUUAGUAUUAUUGAUUGAUUAACAGAUUUAUGGAGGGUUUAGUUCGAAAGAAAUCAUUGUACGUAGUAGUAUACAGCUUUUG